UAGCUCAUAGUUGCACCGUUCCAUAUGGAGGACUGGUCUCCUUUUUCAUUGCCUAAUGAGCUCUUCCAUCUGGCUGUUUGAGUUGUGUUCUUCGUAGUAAAACUUUAAUAAUGACAAGAACGAGUCACAGCCAGCAACCAUGAGAGUAAAACUCUGAGUCUUCCUCCAGAUCAAGCAGUCCAUCCAUGCAGACCUCACAGGGCAAGCUCAGGACUAUGGGAGAGGGAUGCCCUCGGAGUCAGGCUGCCUUGUAUCUGCCUACCUUCCAUGUGUUGUUUCUUAGCCCUACUCCAUGUCACCACUGUGACUGCUGAAGGUGGUGGUGAGGGUGUGGUGAUUUGCUCUUUCCCUGAAGGCUUGGGAAUAGCUAUACAUCCACUGGAGAAAGAGACACCUUAGGAACCCCAAAAUGAUGAUUGUCGAGAUUUUUACAGCUACUCUGUGGUUUUAAAAGCCAUGUUCUCACAUAACACCCAGCGUUUUAUUUACAUCACAUUA
Non-coding RNA from Heterocephalus glaber (naked mole-rat), 498 nucleotides. NCBI's taxonomy places the organism in Eukaryota, Metazoa, Chordata, Mammalia, Rodentia, Bathyergidae. The record is from RefSeq and is a predicted model, not a curated record.